GGUGGAAUUCCCGAGUGGUUAAAGGGAGCAGACUGUAAAUCUGUCGUCUUAGACUUCGUAGGUUCGAAUCCUACUUCCACCA
The sequence is a transfer RNA, 82 nucleotides long. It matches the Rfam family "tRNA". Rfam says of the family: Transfer RNA (tRNA) molecules are approximately 80 nucleotides in length. Their secondary structure includes four short double-helical elements and three loops (D, anti-codon, and T loops).